UGGGGAAUAUUGGGCAAUGGAGGAAACUCUGACCCAGCGACGCCGCGUGCGGGAUGAAGGCCUUCGGGUUGUAAACCGCUUUCAGCAGGGAAUAAGCGCAAGUGAAGGUACCUGCAGAAGAAGCACCGGCUAACUAUGUGCCAGCAGCCGCGGUAAUACAUAGGGUGCAAGCGUUGUCCGGAAUUAUUGGGCGUAAAGAGCUCGUAGGUGGUUUGUUACGUCGGUUGUGAAAUUCAGGGGCUCAACCCCUGACUUGCAGCCGAUACGGGCAAGCUAGAGUUUGGUAGGGGAGACCGGAAUUCCUGGUGUAGCGGUGGAAUGCGCAGAUAUCAGGAGGAACACCGAUGGCGAAGGCAGGUCUCUGGGCCAAUACUGACACUGAGGAGCGAAAGCGUGGGGAGCGAACAGGAUUAGAUACCCUGGUAGUCCACGCCGUAAACGGUGGGCGCUAGUUGUGCGAACCUUCCACGGUUUGUGCGACGCAGCUAACGCAUUAAGCGCCCCGCCUGGGGAGUACGAUCGCAAGAUUA
RNAcentral lists this ribosomal RNA (530 nucleotides) under uncultured prokaryote. RNAcentral's name for it is "bacterial SSU rRNA". It matches the Rfam family "Bacterial small subunit ribosomal RNA", at positions 355 to 896 of the family's 1533-position model. The record is from RNAcentral.